This 323-nucleotide ribosomal RNA is filed under the name uncultured bacterium. RNAcentral describes it as "bacterial SSU rRNA". It matches the Rfam family "Bacterial small subunit ribosomal RNA", at positions 46 to 367 of the family's 1533-position model. The record is from RNAcentral.
GCUUAACACAUGCAAGUCGAGUGCGCGUCUGUAGCAAUACAGAUGGCGCACGGCGCACGGGUGCGUAACACGUGGGUAAUCUGCCCUUCGAAGGGGAAUAACUCGCCGAAAGGCGAGCUAAUUCCGCAUAACAUUCCGAGAACCUUGGUUUUUGGAUUCAAAGGCGUAAGUCGUCGGAGGAGGAGCCCGCGCACGAUUAGCUAGUUGGUAGGGUAACGGCCUACCAACGCUAUGAUCGUUACCUGGUCUGAGAGGAUGGCCAGCCACACUGGAACUGAGACACGGUCCAGACUCCUACGGGAGGCAGCAGUGGGGAAUCUUGC